Molecule: long non-coding RNA, 214 nt
Filed under: Elaeis guineensis (African oil palm)
Lineage: Eukaryota; Viridiplantae; Streptophyta; Magnoliopsida; Arecales; Arecaceae
Description: long non-coding RNA (EGUI_LNC072644)
Source: RNAcentral
UAGAAGGAGCAAAAGGGUUAGGAUCGAAAAGAAUCUGGAUGAAGGUUUCUUUAUCUUCUUAGUUGAGGAUACACCUACCUCAUAUCAGGAAGUUAUGAGCUCUUCUGAUGCUCUAUUCUAGAAGGAGGCAAUCAAUAGUGAGAUCGAAUCAAUUAUUAAUAAUAAUACUUGGAUUCUCACUGAUUUAUCUCUUAGAGCCAAACCAUUAGGUCAU